CAGAAGAGCUCGUGGGGCGUGAAGGCUCGCGGCCUUGGCGCUCGCGAAAUUCCCCGCAGGAGUCUCAUCGCCGCUCGCCAUCGCCAUCGGCAGUCGCCCCGCGUGCUGCCCCGGCAGAUGCGACUAUAUAAGAGAGGACGGCGCCCAUCCCACGUACAGUCCGACCCGUCUGCACGAGCGGCUCUCCCAGUCUCGAGAUGAGGACUCUGACGCUGUUGGUGCUGGUGGCGGCGCUGGUGGGCGUGGCGCUGUGCGUCCCGCUGCCGCUGCCGCUGCCCGGCCCCGUGCCGGCCGCCCCCGCCGCCCCCGCCGCCCCCCGCGAGUCGCUGCGCGCCAGCGAGCAGUUCUACUACCCGUACGCCUACUCGUACUACCCGUACGGGUACUACCUGCUCGGCUGAGGCGGCGGCGCCCUCCACCCGGCACCCGGCACCCGCUGACCGACGCCCGCGACGGACUCUCCAAGGACCCGGCUCUCGCUUUCUGUACUUGUCAAUUAGCCUUGUAGCCCAUAAUAAACAAACACUCCUGGCCAAA
Long non-coding RNA from Schistocerca nitens (vagrant locust), 537 nucleotides. RefSeq lists it as uncharacterized. NCBI's taxonomy places the organism in Eukaryota, Metazoa, Arthropoda, Insecta, Orthoptera, Acrididae. The record is from RefSeq and is a predicted model, not a curated record. The transcript is spliced from 2 exons.